RNAcentral lists this unclassified non-coding RNA (8063 nucleotides) under Leishmania donovani. RNAcentral describes it as "gene:LdHU3.26.1710(CDS-product:MORN_repeat/FYVE_z inc_finger_containing_protein_putative)". Lineage: Eukaryota; Euglenozoa; Kinetoplastea; Trypanosomatida; Trypanosomatidae. The record is from RNAcentral.
AAGCGGCUCAAUCAGCACUGAGAGUGACUGCUGUACAUUGCAUCAGUUGAGCUUCACCCCCCCCACACACACACACACCUCUCCCCAUCAUCAGCACUAUAAUUUGCUCCUCCCUCAUCCUCCGGGCUCGACUCGCCUCAGCGCUUGUCUCCGUCUUGUUUUCCCGAUCUGUUUUUGCACACAGGCACCCCGCACACACUCCUGCAAGAGCGUGCGCGCACACGGGGUGUGCACCUCUACACACAUACGCGUACACUAGAUAUAUAUAUAUAUAUAUAUGUAGUCAUCCUUCCCUCUGUCCUCCCCCCUCUCCUCUCUCAUCGCUGCUUCUUUUUCGCCCCUUUCUGUUCUUCAUCGGCUGGGGCGUCUCGCACACGCUCGCUCCCGCUUCCCGGCCCCUGUGCCGAGUGGCUCACCCCGACUCGAUUUGCUCUCUUUGUGUCAUUUAGUGUCUGUGUCUGUGGCCGCUUUUGAGCCCUGCUGCUGCUGCUGCGCUUCUCUGUGCGCUUUUUCUGUCUUGCUCUAUUUUUUUUUAUCAUUGUCGGUAUUUCCUCCGCCGCUUUAUCAAAAUAAAGCAAUCUUUUUCGAUUGUGUGCCCCGCCCACCCUGCCACUACCUCCUCCGAUCGCCAUCUUCUUCUUGCGUUUGAGUGUGAUGGCGCAUGCGGCAGGCGGGAAUAAUACCGCGGAUGCAGCACCGCAGUACUACGACCCCAACGCCCCGCUCACCCGCCCUGUCACGACCUUUCAGGUUGAAACUUUUGUUCCACGUGAAGGGAUGACGCCGUCGCUCGUGCUCGCGGAUGGCAGUCACUACUUUGGUCCCGUCGUUGAGGACAGCAGGUGUCGCAUCCCGUGCGGCUGUGGCAUCAUACUAUUCCAGUAUGAUGGAGCGGUGAAACCCAACUUGACCGUUGCCGAAGCGGCAGCCGCUGCUAGUGACAGCGGCGGGGGUGGCGGACUCGCUUCCUUCUUCUUUGGCCGAGGUAUGCCGCAAGGCGGCGGCGCGAGUCAGGCGGCGGCAACCCUCACGGCUCUGUGCAAGCGCUAUCGGCAAGGAGACCGGUACGGCGGUGACUGGGUCAACGGCACGUUCCACGGUAACGGUGUGCUGGUAACGAGCAGCUUCACCUACCACGGCACCUGGAUAGAGGGUGAGAUGCAGGGAAAGGGCACCAUCUCUUACACGCGCAAAUACGUCGACUACCGGCCCCGCAACACAAACGGCAGCGACAGCGGGGUUGGGGAAGGGGUGAGCAACCUGCUGCUGAAGGGGCUCUCGUACGUUUCACCCUUCGAGCUCGUCGGGACCGCUGCGGCGCCGAAGGAAUACAUUGGUGACUUCGACGCCAAGCACUACCGCCACGGCAUGGGGCUGAUGCGGUACUACAACGGCGACGUCUACGAGGGGGAGUGGCGCGACAACUGCCGUCAUGGCCGUGGAAAACUACGCAAGAUAGACGGUGAGGUGUACGACGGUGACUGGGCCUUUGACCAGCGCCACGGCAACGGCAAGAUCAUGUACCCGAACGGGUCUCUCUUCAAGGGCUCCAUGGAGUACGAUCAGCGCAACGGCGAGGGCAUCAUGCGCUUCGCCAACGGUGACGAGUUCUUUGGCACCUUCAAGAAGGAUCGCAUCGACGGGCACGGCACGAUGCGCUACCGCAAUGGAGACGUCUACGAAGGCUCCUGGCGCGACCAGCUGCGCCACGGACAAGGCAAGUAUACCUUGAAGCGCACAGGGGCGACGAUGCACGGCGAGUUCCAGAGCGGGCUCAUCCACGGAGAAGGUACCGUGAUCGUGCCGGGUGUAUCGACCUUUGUUGGCAUGUUUGUGCGCGGCGAGCGCACUAUCGGCACCAUGCACUGGCAUCAGCAGUCGUCACAGCAGCUGCAAGCAGAGCUCGUCAACGAUGAUGCCACCACAGCCGCGGCAGCAACUGCUGCGGCGACAUUGGAGAGCCCGGAGUCGUCCCUUCUGGACACAACGCUGCUCCCAGGUCCCGCCACGCCUCCUCCUCCUGGCACCGGCAGCGCCAGCGUCACCGCAACGAUCGGUACCGCCAUCGUGGCCGGCAAAGCAAGCACCACGAACUACCUCUGCUACCAGGGGCAGUGGCACGGCGAGCACAUGCACGGCAGAGGACUCCUCUGGUACACGAACGGCGACUUUUACGCUGGUGACUUUCACAAGAGCCGCCGUCACGGCGCCGGCAACAUGCGCUACGCCGCGGAGCAGGCUGAGUUCAGCGGGCAGUACGUCCACGGUAUACGGCAUGGGCUGGGGCUGCUGCAGCGCGCCAACAAAACCAUCCAGGCUGGGCGGUGGCAGCAAAACAUCUUCGUGGAGGGGUACGAGGGGGAGUGGGACGGGUCUGUCUUUCACGGUAUUGGACGGCUAACGAUGCCGGUGGACAUCUUCCUCGCCAUGCGCUCAAGCAGCUCCACCCUGAAACCGUCGGAGCUGAGCGCGAUGUGGAAUGGCAGGUCUAGCACCCUCUCGACGAACGCGUCGUUCAUCGCUGGACAUGAAGAAGGCCGCCGUGCAGCCGGCGACGGGGCGCCACAGGGGGCAGCAACCGACACAUCCGUGAGCGGUGCCACGGCGAAUCGCGCUGACUUGUCCCCUCUCUUCAUCGAUUUCUUUGGCCUAUUCCGUAACGGUCUACGGGAUGGGCUGGGCGUGCUCAAGCUGCCUGCCCUGAACGGCCUCGUCGGUGGCUCCCUGAACCUUGCAGAAGAGCGGAAGUCAGGCGGCGGUGGCGGCCAAUGCGAUAGCGGCGGCGGUGGUACUACCACCCACGGCGCUGGAGGGGUGAAGGCGGAGAGAGGUCGGAGGGGCAGCGGUGGUGUUGGCGACGGCAAUGCCGCCGCCGGUGCGCCCCGCAGUCGAUACAACACCGUCAGCCUUGCCUCGAUGCCGUCCAUGCUCAUCAAGGGGCGCUGGGUCCGUGAUGUGCUGCACUGCGACAAAGGUGUAUGGGCCUUCCCAAAUGGCGUCGUCUAUAUUGGGCGCUUUCGCAACGGCGCCCGCGACGCUACGCGCGCGUGCGUGUGGUGGCCGGAUGGGUCGGUGCUGGAGAGCGGGUGGUGUGGCGAUGCGCCGAGCGGGGCAGGCAUCUGGUAUCAGCGUAACCGCAUCACCCCGGUGUAUCAAACGAUUUCGCCGAGCGUGCUGCGUCGCUCGCAGUCGCUGAGGUUGCCAGAGAAGGGCUCACCGUCGAGGAGCAUCGGUCAUGCCACCGAUGGCGGUCAGGGCACCAGUGACGCGGCUGAUGCGGACGGCAACAGCACGAGCGUCGCUCUGGCGCGUGAUCCUUUUGGCAUGUCGUACCUCCUAAGGCUCAUCGGGUCUGGUCUUAUCGGCCACGGCACCAGCAGCGUUGGUGACGGCGGCGGCGGCGACACGCACGAUGAAAGCGACAACGACCAGCCGCGACGGGUGCUCGUUGACUUUGGCAAUCACUUCACGUUCUCCUGCUCCUGGUGCCCAUACACGAUGGAUUUGAGUACUUACGCGGCAGUGGUGCUGCCCCAGAUUGGGAGUCAGACGUCCCCGCUGCCAGGUGGCACGCCGUGGCCGCAGCUGUACCACUCCCCAAGCAUGUCGGCUGCCGUGGGCGCGCCGCGACCGUGGGCGGCAGAGACUGCGAAAGGCGGGAGAGGCGCGCCACAAAGCACAGCAGCCGCAUCGCCCACCACUGCCGUUGGCAGUAGCGGCGCUGGGCUGCAAGCCUCCGUACCGUGGCCCGUCCCUACGGCAAAAAAGAUGUCCAGCUGCGCCAACUCGCUUCAUCUAUCGGAAGCACCGUCCAGCGUGGUGAUAGGCCGCGCCAGCGGCGCCGGGGUUGUUUACUUCGACUCCGGUGUCGUGCUUGCCGGGGAGUGGCUCGGCAACGUCCCUCGGCUGGCCACACCGUACCGCCCGUGGUCCGCCUUCGAUCACUUCAUCACGUGGCAGACGGCUCGGGCAGCAUCGCGCAACUGUGUCAGCACGGUGCCGCGCCCCAUUGCUCCGCGGCUGCAAUCGUGCUACACCUCUGUCUUGGUGGCUGCCCCGGAGGACGUGAGUGGUGAACCGCGGCGCGUUGCUGGUGGGCGGCUGACUGUGGCGUCGUCGCCGCUAGCGGUUAGCCGCAUGGGCGACGCUGCAGAGCAUGCGCCGGCAUCCUUUACCCCACCGUCGCCGCCGCCCUCCCCCGAUGCGCGCUGCAUGUUGUGUGGGAAAGACUACAGCUUCUUCCGCAAGCGCGCGCACUGCACCCUGUGCCUGCGCUCGGCAUGCUCUUCCUGCCUGGGGCACAUGGACACAGAGGGGCCGGCGCAGCAGGAGGACGUGAAAGCACUACUACGUCACGCCUACCUGACGGCGGAGCAGACGGUGCAGCUCUCGACCGCUGCAGCUGCGAAGACUACCCUCACAAGCGCCAGCGGUAGCGCUGCCCGGCCUAUCACCUUCCCAAGCUUCUCUGCAGAGCAGGUCGAUCACGCGUUCGACAAGAAGAGCAUCUCGACGGUUCCCGUCUGUGCAGACUGCGUGCGCGCGGUUCUGUGGAAGCUGCGGUACACACAGCUAUGGAUACCGAUGUCGAUGUUCGCCUCCGUCGUCGAGGGUGACAAGCACCACCGUGAGGCGCGGCGCAACAGCGGCGUCGAGGCUGCCCAUCACGAUGCUCGCGAUGGCGCGAACAAAAACGCCGUCGCCGGUGGUGACGUCGACGACGGGGCCGGGGAACCGGCCAACCCGCUGUCCACGGUCGCGCACAGUCAGGAGUCCUCUCGGCAGAUCUCGGCCGUUGGGCAGUCUCUGCCCCUCUCUCCCGAGCGUUCCGCUGUUCCAGCCACAGCCUUCGAUGAGGUGGAGCAUCGCCAACACGAUGGAAGGUUGCCGACUGGCAACAGCGCACUGUGCAGCGCGGCCACCGCAGACUCCUCCGAAGCCUCAGCUGUCGAUGAAGCAUCGCACGACCUGCUGGCCCCCACCCAAGCAUGUGCGGCAGCUACUGAAGACAAGCCAUCUACUCCCCCUGCCGCGUCACCCUCAAGCGCCAACGACAGUGCGGUGGCUGGUACAUCACCUGCGUCGGCUCUCCCGCCCGCGUCGGCCUCCAGCCAGACGCCAAACCUCUCCGGCCACCCAGAGACGGUGCGGCACAGCUGCAGCAAGAUCUUGCCGCCGACGCAGUACAUUAUCUACAGUGGCUACACAUCACACACCAUUCCACACGUCUACGGCGAGCUCUGGUGGGGGCGUCAGUACUACUACCGCGGCGGCUUCUGCGCCGGGGAGCGGCACGGGUUCGGUACGCAGUACAUGCCCAACGGCGAGUGGUACGAGGGCGGCUUUGAGCGAGACGCAUGGCAUGGCGAGGGCGUCUACUACCUGGAAGACGGUUCCGUGCUGCUCGGUGAGUUCCGAAAGGGCAAGCUGCACGCGGUGCACUACCGCGGUGAGGUGGAGGAGAGUGACACAUGUGGCGUCCGGCCGCACGGCCGCGGUAUCGGCUACAGCCCAGACGGCUCCGUCUAUAAUGGCGAGUGGGUGCAUGGCCAGCGUCACGGCACUGGAAUGCUGCACCUGGCCGAUGGCAGCUCCGUGUACAGCGGCACAUUUGUGUCGGAUGCGAUGGAAGGGAUGGGCAAGCUCGUGACGACCAGUGGGGCCUACUACGGCGACUUUAGUCAGAACAAGCAGAAUGGCAAAGGGCUGCUCUUCACUGCCGACUGCGUGGUGGAAGGGUCAUGGGUGCAGGGCACCUCAUCCGGAUUCACGCGCAUCUACGAGCGUGUCACCGGGGAGGUGUACGAGACGACCUACAGCGACGGCAACGAGCGGGACGACUGCUUCACUGCUCCAGUGAUGAUAGACGACGACGCCGCUGCCGAGUGCGGGCAGUGCGGCACGGCCUUCUCCUUUUUCCUUCGCCGGCAUCACUGCCGCCUUUGCGGGGAUGUCUUCUGCGAUGCCUGCACGCAGCACCGCGCGUCGCUGCCGUCGACUGUCACAGGAGACGGUGUCCCAAGUGCGAAGAGCGACCCCGCCAGCUCCAGCGCGUCCGGGGUGAAUGGGCAGCAGCUGCGGGUAUGCGAUGCGUGUUUCUUCCGUCUCUCCCAGCGCCGCAUGAUCGCUCUGCGCCGCUACGCCGACGGCAGUGUGUACGCCGGCUGCUGGAGCCAGGGGCGCUGGGUAUCGCGUGGGCUCUACUGCCGGCCAGACGGCGUGUUCGUGGUGAUGGACACCUACGGGCACGCCCUCCUGCCACUGGCAGCCAUUGCGAAAGAGCCGCUCAAGGGUGGCGCAAGCGCAGACAUGAAAGAGCCGGAGAAGCCAAGCGCGGCGCAGCCUGCUUGCGGCCUCGGCGUUGUUCGCCGCCCGUCGCGCGCCACCGGUCUGCCUGUCUCGUCAUCCGUCCUUCAGGAUGCUGCGCCGGCGAAGGAGCUUCUCGACGGUGUCUCGGAGAGCUCGUCGCGUAAGGACCUCGACGCGUUCCUGCUCUGGUGGGCGACGACGCGCAGCCGCUGUGGCCUGCACGUUCCGCUGGACGUCCCGCUCGUGAUCCAAUAUCAGCGCAUGCCGGCGCAGAUGCUGCGCAGCAAGGAGGCCACGGUGAAGGCUGGCUCGGAUGCAGCGGCGUAUUUGGCGGCGCCGGCACGCUGCACCCUUGAGACACCCCACACUCCCUCUCUCAGGCCUAUCCGGCUGUUCAUCACACUGGCCGACUCGCGGCGUGAGAUGCGGGCCAUGGUGGAGGGAGAGAUGGUGCGGACCUCUGCCAGCGCAACGCCGGCAGAAACAGCCGCUGCACCUGCGCCAGAGUCGCGCCUGUCGAUCGAAGAGAAGCGCACCAUGGACAGCGACGUAGAGGCGGCAGCGUUGCGAGCGUCGAGGUUCAUGCCAGUUGCGAUACCUCGCGCUCCAGUGGUACCCAUCACCGCCGCUACGAUACCCGUCACGAGCGCGGCGGAGCUGCCAGAGGCGACUACAACGGCUCACCCCGGCAGCCUCCACCCUGCACACCAGGCGACGGGAGCAGAUCCUCCGCAUGCGUUCGGUUUCUCCGCCUGGGCGACGCGCCCGCCACCGUCGAUCGACCCCGAGGACAUCAGCGAUGAGUCGCUCGUAGAGAUGAUGCAGGCGGAGCGGCUUUCCUGGUCAGCGGCUGCGCCAGCGGCCAAGGCCUCCGCUGCGUCAACCAUUCCACCUCUCAUGCCACCUACACCGGCCCCUCCCACACCCGGAUUGAACACCACGGUGCCCUGGGAUCUGUGGACGACGCGCGACGUGCCCCGUUACGCCCCGCCGCCGCCGGCGACGGAAGCAGCAGAGGCCACACCAGCUGCCCAAACGCUGAAGGAGAAAGCCUCAGGUGGUGGCGAGGCCGACGCGGCGCCUCUGCCUGCCCUGCGCAGUGAAGCGGACAUGUACUUUGCGUGUCCGUUCUGGGGCCCGACCGUUCCAGACGCGCAGGUGCUGCUAGAGCAGGGCAAGAUGACGCAGGCCACGAGACUGAUGUGCCGUCUGCAGCAACAGCACGGCCAAGCCGUGAAUCCGCAGCAGCAGGAGAAGCAAAGGAGCGAUAGCGGCAGCAGUGACGGCGACGGCAACGGCAGCGGCGAGGGGAUCGGGGGCAGAGGCGCUACUGCAAGUGGUGGAGGAAAGACUCGACGAGGCAGUGCAGCAGACGACCCGCUGAGUAUGCUGCAGAGCAUGCAGGGUGGUGUCCCCAAUGCCAGCGUCUCCUCCUGGGAGCCGGGUCACCUAUUCUCCUCAGAGCAGCGAGCGCAGUGCGGCGACGGGUGGGCACCAACGCCGUUGCGUGGCCCAUAUGUCUUCGACAUCUCUGCCCACGAAAAGCACAGAAGCGCGGAUGGGCAGCGUUGGUACGCAAAGGUAACGCAGCGAGAGGUGCUGAAGUUUUAGUCGCGCGCCGCUGCUUCGCUUGAUGUUUUGCUUCGUUUUUUUGUAUCAGGUGUGUGUGUGUGUGUGUGUGUGCGUGUGUAUGUGUGUGUCUGCAUCUGCGCGGUUGGUCGUGCAUUACUGUAUUGGUUGGGCUUUUGACGUUU